AGAUAAGCCCGUGCAUGUGUAAGUAAAAAUAAUUAACUUUGAAAUUGGAACGGGUUCUUAAUUUCAGUUAUAGUUUAUUUGAGUGAAGUAUACUAAUUGGAUAACCGUAGUAAUUCUAGGGCUAAUACAUGAGUAAAGUCCCAUUGUGAAUGUGUUUAUUAAAAAGGAAACCAAAUGGUUCCGGCUGAUAAUGAAUAAUAAUAACCUAUCCUAACCCAAGGCUUAAGGAACCAUGAAUCUUUCAAGUUUCCGCCCUAUCAACUUUCGAUGGGAGCAUUAGGGUCCACCAUGGGAGUAACGGGUAACGAAAAAAUUGGGUUCCAUUUCCGAAAAGGAGCCCGAAAAAUGGAUACCACCACCAAAGGAAGGGACGGGGGCGUAAAUUUACCUAACCCGACCCCGGGAGGGAGUGGCAAUAAAAUCAAAAUGGCGGGACUUCUACUCUUGGUUUUGGAAUUGGAACGACAGACAACUCCUAACCAUAACCCCAUGGAAGGGAAGGCCGGGUCCGGCGCCCGCG
This 520-nucleotide ribosomal RNA is filed under the name Blastocystis sp. RNAcentral describes it as "SSU rRNA". It matches the Rfam family "Eukaryotic small subunit ribosomal RNA", at positions 41 to 578 of the family's 1831-position model. Lineage: Eukaryota; Bigyra; Opalinata; Blastocystidae. The record is from RNAcentral.